RNAcentral lists this long non-coding RNA (540 nucleotides) under Capsicum annuum. Its description in RNAcentral is "long non-coding RNA (CANN_LNC003808)". Lineage: Eukaryota; Viridiplantae; Streptophyta; Magnoliopsida; Solanales; Solanaceae. The record is from RNAcentral.
CAUCUUUUGUUUUUAAAAAAAUUCUUAAAACACUCCGAAACCUUAUUGUGGUUUUACCUUGUAAAGUCGGAAACCCCUCAUAUUUCUCUUCAAAGUCCUUUCUUUUCACGACUAUUCCACAAUUCUCCCUUCAAUGCUUUCUCCAUUAUUAACAUCUGCUUAUUUUAAUUACUUAUAUAUAUACCAAGGCAUUUGGAAAGGAAAAUAUAUAAGUAAUGAAAAUGUAGCAACUAAUAAAGAAAGCAUUCCACAGCAUUUGAAAAAAGGAACAACAAAAAAAAUAAUAUAACAAUUGAGGCAGUAAGAGAAAUUGAAGGACAAGAACUACGAUAAUAGUGUUAAUAAUACUAUUAAAGGGGAAACAUACGAAGCACCAACUACGAUCUAUGAUCUCCAUAUCCUCAUGUCUAAGGUCAUGUCCUCGAUAAGUUGAAGAUGCUCCAUGUCUUAUCUAAUUUUAUCUCCCAGUACUUCUUUGACCUACCUCUACCUCUUCUUAAAUCCACCAUUGUCAAUCCUCUCACACCUCUUCACUUGGAC